GGUACCUACGGGGCGCAGCAGUAGGGAAUCUUCCACAAUGGACGAAAGUCUGAUGGGGCAACGCCGCGUGAGUGAAGAAGGGUUUCGGCUCGUAAAGCUCUGUUGGUAGUGAAGAAAGAUAGAGGUAGUAACUGGCCUUUAUUUGACGGUAAUUACUUAGAAAGUCACGGCUUACUACGUGGCAGCAGCCGCGGUAAUACGUAGGUGGCAAGCGUUGUCCGGAUUUAUUGGGCGUAAAGCGAGGGCAGGCGGU
RNAcentral lists this ribosomal RNA (253 nucleotides) under uncultured bacterium. Its description in RNAcentral is "partial 16S ribosomal RNA". It matches the Rfam family "Bacterial small subunit ribosomal RNA", at positions 334 to 579 of the family's 1533-position model. The record is from RNAcentral.